RNAcentral lists this unclassified non-coding RNA (310 nucleotides) under Hevea brasiliensis (rubber tree). The record is from RNAcentral. Lineage: Eukaryota; Viridiplantae; Streptophyta; Magnoliopsida; Malpighiales; Euphorbiaceae.
GUACUUCAACACAAUUUCUGGUCGCUUACCACCUAUUACCCACUUAUCCUUCUCAAGUAUCUUCAAACUUGCUUAUGCUUAAGCUCACAUUUCGAUGCUCCACAAUCGGAUCGGACAGAUCAGGCGGUGUCGGAGUCGUCGAAGUCGUCCUCGAAGGCGUUGAAGAAGUCGACGGCGUCGAGGAGGACGGGGGGCUUGUCGAAGGGAUCGCCGAAGUGGUCGACGUCGUCAACCUCCAUGCCGACAUGUUCCUCCUCCAUGUCCUGGUCGAGAAAGAAGGAUCUCGCCGACGGCCUCAUCUUGAUCGCCU